ACCACCAUUGUCGUGACCUUAUGUCACCUGACCCGACCCGCGCACCCACACUUAUCUCACCUCACCGUUGCCCUAUCAGCACCACAGACAGCAGAGUCAGCAACGAACGGCAGCAGACGCUGCCUCCGCCUGCUGUCAGCUCUGACAUUCCACGGGUCUUUUGCUGUGGAAUGGUGUGACCUAAUCUGACCUCCCGUGAGCGUGUGUGUGACCUCGGCCUUACGUAGUGCCGCUGUUGGUGCCGGUGUAGCCAGUGACCCUUGUGCUGUGUUGUGCCGUCAUAAUGUCGCCCAUUCAGCCUGUUCUGUGAAUUCGAAAUGUUGACUAGCAUCGCUGUGUGACCAACCUUUGCCAGCCCCCGUGACCCCUGACCCGGCCUACCCCCAAGGUCGACCGUCUAGCGUCCCGUGUCAACCGCCCGCCACCAAACCCAGGAGUCAGUGCUUCGGCUGCUCUUAUUUUUUGACAGGAAUGUCAUGAGAUUCCGUCCCAAUGAGUUACGGGUGAGUACUGUACAUAUCCUGUGUGUGUGGCGGACUGAGGACAGUCAAGAACCGGUGAGUAUUUUGUGUUUUGACUUUUAUAGUGAAAAAAGGAGAAGGCAUUGUAAUAUGCUUGACUGGCAAUCCUACAACGGCUGAUAGGGAGAAAGAAGAUAAAGGAAUAUAUAUAGAAAGGAAAAUAGAUAAUCAGAAAAAGAUAGCUAAACGGGAAAGGAGAAAUUGAACUGAA
Molecule: long non-coding RNA, 732 nt
Organism: Penaeus chinensis
Lineage: Eukaryota; Metazoa; Arthropoda; Malacostraca; Decapoda; Penaeidae
Exons: 2
Source: RefSeq, a predicted model, not a curated record